RNAcentral lists this ribosomal RNA (253 nucleotides) under uncultured bacterium. RNAcentral describes it as "partial 16S ribosomal RNA". It matches the Rfam family "Bacterial small subunit ribosomal RNA", at positions 524 to 776 of the family's 1533-position model. The record is from RNAcentral.
GACAGAGGGGGCAAGCGUUGCUCGGAAUUACUGGGCGUAAAGGGCUCGUAGGCGGCCAACUAAGUCAGACGUGAAAUCCCUCGGCUUAACCGGGGAACUGCGUCUGAUACUGGAUGGCUAGAGGUUGGGAGAGGGAUGCGGAAUUCCAGGUGUAGCGGUGAAAUGCGUAGAUAUCUGGAGGAACACCGGUGGCGAAGGCGGCAUCCUGGACCAAUUCUGACGCUGAUGAGCGAAAGCCAGGGGAGCAAACGGG